AAAAAAAAAAAAGAAAAAAAGAAAAAGCCAGAGCCUCAAUAACACCUUGAAAAAAAUAUCAGCCCCUUUAUAUUUAGAGAAAUUAGAGGGGGGUUGUUUGUCUGUUUGUUUUUUAAUAGAAGAAUUCAGUGUUAUCCAGAACUGCUUCUUCCCAUCCGACUUAAAGAAAGGUCUUUUUUAAAGGCUGUCUGUCAUAGGAUACACCUAUGUCUUGUUGCCAAGCCAGAAUCCCAUGGGACCUGUCUCUUCAUUUUAGAAGUGCUGAGAUAUUAGACAUUUGUUGGCUUUUCAGAUCAAUUUCCUCUACAGCUGUUAUUUUCCAUAAUUGUCAGCUGGAAACAUUUGACCAGAACCAGGGUGUUGCACAUUUUUCAUGGGCAUAUUUCUCUUCCCUACUAAUGGGUCUAAUAUGUGCAUAAACAGCAUGGUAAGUGAAGUGCAUACCUAUUCUGAAUUGGCUACUACUCUCCUGCUCAAAGCACGUGUCUGGGUCAGGUAAGGACACAUCAGCUUGUGCUAGUGGACUAAGGACAAAAAGCUCUGCUUCUAUUAAUUAGCAAAAAAAUAACCCUGAAGAACUAUCCUGCAAUUGUUCUUGGUGAGUGUCUCAUUCAUGCCAGAAUGCAAACCAUAGCAGAAAAUACCACUAGCAGAUAUAAAUUUGUUUUAAUAAAAAAAAAAAGUGCAUUUUAGUUAUAUUAUUAUGCUACUUUGGGAAACUGUGUGAGUACGAUAUGCUCAAUGUGAAGGUGAUUUGUAUUGUCUACCAUGAGAUGAUUUUUUGCCUGUAUAUUCUUCAAAGAGCUUCAUGUUUUUUUUCUGUCUUUCAGGACAGAAGGCGUUUCCAGUUGCAUUGGACCAACUCGAAGCUAUCGCUCAUGCAAUAUUCAGAGCUGUCCAGAAGGCUCCAGGGAUUUCCGGGCAGAGCAAUGUGCAGAGUUCGAUGGGACAGAAUUCCAAGGAAAGAAAUACACGUGGCUUCCGUAUUACGGAGCACCCAAUAAAUGUGAGUUAAACUGUAUUCCCAAGGGAGAAAACUUCUACUACAGGCACAAGGAAGCUGUGGUAGAUGGGACUACCUGUGAACCUGGCAAGCGGGAUAUCUGUGUAGAGGGAGUUUGUCAGGUGAGUCAUCCUGUUGUUUCCUUCCUUUACCAUUGCUUCUGUAAGUCUUUUAGGUGCUUUCCUUUGUUCUUCUUGGCCCUUCAUAAUAAUACCUGGAAAGUGCAUUCAUUCAGUUUCUGAGGUGCUGAGGGACAUGUUAACAGUUCUUAUCUCUCUGUCUCUGGAAGCAAAACAGAAGAUGCCAACUCUGUCCUUCCACUGACAGCUCCUUCCCUGACUUCCCAGACUCCCUAGACUCAUGUUUUCUCAUUAAAUCAGUCCAACAUUUGACCAUUUUUUCUUUCUUUCCCUCAUUGUUAUGGUUUAUUCAUAUUG
Molecule: long non-coding RNA, 1440 nt
Filed under: Anas platyrhynchos platyrhynchos (common mallard)
Lineage: Eukaryota; Metazoa; Chordata; Aves; Anseriformes; Anatidae
Description: lncRNA (ENSAPLG00000023973.1)
Source: RNAcentral